Molecule: small nucleolar RNA, 107 nt
Organism: Humulus lupulus (European hop)
Lineage: Eukaryota; Viridiplantae; Streptophyta; Magnoliopsida; Rosales; Cannabaceae
Source: RefSeq, a predicted model, not a curated record
AUCUGAUGAUGAGGGCAGCUAGCACACAACCUCUUAAAUCUCUCCCAAUACUCAUACAAAGACUCUCCUGUAUACUGCCUUAUACCACAGAUCUCCUUCCUGAUGCU